This 70-nucleotide transfer RNA is filed under the name Ophiocomina nigra. RNAcentral's name for it is "transfer RNA-Gln". It matches the Rfam family "tRNA". Rfam says of the family: Transfer RNA (tRNA) molecules are approximately 80 nucleotides in length. The record is from RNAcentral. Lineage: Eukaryota; Metazoa; Echinodermata; Ophiuroidea; Amphilepidida; Ophiocomidae.
UAAGAAAUAGGUAAACGAAUACCUUGGAAAUUUGAAUUCCACAUUAAGAGCUCAAAUCUCUUUUUCUUAU